CCAGCAGCCGCGGUAAUUCCUACGGGAGGCAGCAGUGGGGAAUUUUGGCACGCAAUGGGCGCAAGCCUGAUCCAGCAAUGCCGCGUGAGUGAAGAAGGCCUUCGGGUUGUAAAGCUCUUUCAGUUGAGAAGAAAAGGUUGUGACUAAUAAUCACAAUUGAUGACGGUAUCAACAGAAGAAGCACCGGCUAACUACGUGCCAGCAGCCGCGGUAAU
RNAcentral lists this ribosomal RNA (215 nucleotides) under uncultured bacterium. RNAcentral describes it as "partial 16S ribosomal RNA". It matches the Rfam family "Bacterial small subunit ribosomal RNA", at positions 320 to 524 of the family's 1533-position model. The record is from RNAcentral.